RNAcentral lists this ribosomal RNA (3009 nucleotides) under Salmonella enterica subsp. enterica. RNAcentral describes it as "23S ribosomal RNA". It matches the Rfam family "Bacterial large subunit ribosomal RNA". The record is from RNAcentral. Lineage: Bacteria; Pseudomonadati; Pseudomonadota; Gammaproteobacteria; Enterobacterales; Enterobacteriaceae.
GGGUUGUGAGGUUAAGCGACUAAGCGUACACGGUGGAUGCCCUGGCAGUCAGAGGCGAUGAAGGACGUGCUAAUCUGCGAUAAGCGCCGGUAAGGUGAUAUGAACCGUUAUAACCGGCGAUUUCCGAAUGGGGAAACCCAGUGUGAUUCGUCACACUAUCAUUAACUGAAUCCAUAGGUUAAUGAGGCGAACCGGGGGAACUGAAACAUCUAAGUACCCCGAGGAAAAGAAAUCAACCGAGAUUCCCCCAGUAGCGGCGAGCGAACGGGGAGGAGCCCAGAGCCUGAAUCAGCAUGUGUGUUAGUGGAAGCGUCUGGAAAGGUGCGCGAUACAGGGUGACAGCCCCGUACACAAAAGCGCAUGUGCUGUGAGCUCGAUGAGUAGGGCGGGACACGUGGUAUCCUGUCUGAAUAUGGGGGGACCAUCCUCCAAGGCUAAAUACUCCUGACUGACCGAUAGUGAACCAGUACCGUGAGGGAAAGGCGAAAAGAACCCCGGCGAGGGGAGUGAAAAAGAACCUGAAACCGUGUACGUACAAGCAGUGGGAGCACAGGUUUACCUGUGUGACUGCGUACCUUUUGUAUAAUGGGUCAGCGACUUAUAUUCUGUAGCAAGGUUAACCGUAUAGGGGAGCCGUAGGGAAACCGAGUCUUAACCGGGCGUUAAGUUGCAGGGUAUAGACCCGAAACCCGGUGAUCUAGCCAUGGGCGGUUGAAGGUUGGGUAACACUAACUGGAGGACCGAACCGACUAAUGUUGAAAAAUUAGCGGAUGACCUGUGGCUGGGGGUGAAAGGCCAAUCAAACCGGGAGAUAGCUGGUUCUCCCCGAAAGCUAUUUAGGUAGCGCCUCGUGAAUUCAUCUCCGGGGGUAGAGCACUGUUUCGGCUAGGGGGCCAUCCCGGCUUACCAACCCGAUGCAAACUGCGAAUACCGGAGAAUGUUAUCACGGGAGACACACGGCGGGUGCUAACGUCCGUCGUGAAGAGGGAAACAACCCAGACCGCCAGCUAAGGUCCCAAAGUCAUGGUUAAGUGGGAAACGAUGUGGGAAGGCCCAGACAGCCAGGAUGUUGGCUUAGAAGCAGCCAUCAUUUAAAGAAAGCGUAAUAGCUCACUGGUCGAGUCGGCCUGCGCGGAAGAUGUAACGGGGCUAAACCAUGCACCGAAGCUGCGGCAGCGAACGUAUCACUUAAAGCGAUUCAGCGGGUUACGAUUGACGGAGCGAAGCGACGUCAAAGCGUAUACAAAGUCGAGUCGGUUUAAGGAUACGUUCGUUGGGUAGGGGAGCGUUCUGUAAGCCCGUGAAGGUGGCCUGUGAGGGUUGCUGGAGGUAUCAGAAGUGCGAAUGCUGACAUAAGUAACGAUAAAGCGGGUGAAAAGCCCGCUCGCCGGAAGACCAAGGGUUCCUGUCCAACGUUAAUCGGGGCAGGGUGAGUCGACCCCUAAGGCGAGGCCGAAAGGCGUAGUCGAUGGGAAACGGGUUAAUAUUCCCGUACUUGGUGUUACUGCGAAGGGGGGACGGAGAAGGCUAUGUUGGCCGGGCGACGGUUGUCCCGGUUUAAGCGUGUAGGUGUGUGUUCCAGGUAAAUCCGGUUCACUUUAACACUGAGGCGUGACGACGAGGCACUACGGUGCUGAAGCAACAAAUGCCCUGCUUCCAGGAAAAGCCUCUAAGCAUCAGGUAACAUCAAAUCGUACCCCAAACCGACACAGGUGGUCAGGUAGAGAAUACCAAGGCGCUUGAGAGAACUCGGGUGAAGGAACUAGGCAAAAUGGUGCCGUAACUUCGGGAGAAGGCACGCUGACACGUAGGUGAAGUGAUUUACUCAUGGAGCUGAAGUCAGUCGAAGAUACCAGCUGGCUGCAACUGUUUAUUAAAAACACAGCACUGUGCAAACACGAAAGUGGACGUAUACGGUGUGACGCCUGCCCGGUGCCGGAAGGUUAAUUGAUGGGGUCAGCGCAAGCGAAGCUCCUGAUCGAAGCCCCGGUAAACGGCGGCCGUAACUAUAACGGUCCUAAGGUAGCGAAAUUCCUUGUCGGGUAAGUUCCGACCUGCACGAAUGGCGUAAUGAUGGCCAGGCUGUCUCCACCCGAGACUCAGUGAAAUUGAACUCGCUGUGAAGAUGCAGUGUACCCGCGGCAAGACGGAAAGACCCCGUGAACCUUUACUAUAGCUUGACACUGAACAUUGAGCCUUGAUGUGUAGGAUAGGUGGGAGGCUUUGAAGUGUGGACGCCAGUCUGCAUGGAGCCGACCUUGAAAUACCACCCUUUAAUGUUUGAUGUUCUAACGUGGACCCGUAAUCCGGGUUGCGGACAGUGUCUGGUGGGUAGUUUGACUGGGGCGGUCUCCUCCUAAAGAGUAACGGAGGAGCACGAAGGUUGGCUAAUCCUGGUCGGACAUCAGGAGGUUAGUGCAAUGGCAUAAGCCAGCUUGACUGCGAGCGUGACGGCGCGAGCAGGUGCGAAAGCAGGUCAUAGUGAUCCGGUGGUUCUGAAUGGAAGGGCCAUCGCUCAACGGAUAAAAGGUACUCCGGGGAUAACAGGCUGAUACCGCCCAAGAGUUCAUAUCGACGGCGGUGUUUGGCACCUCGAUGUCGGCUCAUCACAUCCUGGGGCUGAAGUAGGUCCCAAGGGUAUGGCUGUUCGCCAUUUAAAGUGGUACGCGAGCUGGGUUUAGAACGUCGUGAGACAGUUCGGUCCCUAUCUGCCGUGGGCGCUGGAGAACUGAGGGGGGCUGCUCCUAGUACGAGAGGACCGGAGUGGACGCAUCACUGGUGUUCGGGUUGUCAUGCCAAUGGCACUGCCCGGUAGCUAAAUGCGGAAGAGAUAAGUGCUGAAAGCAUCUAAGCACGAAACUUGCCCCGAGAUGAGUUCUCCCUGAGACUUAGAGUCUCCUGAAGGAACGUUGAAGACGACGACGUUGAUAGGCCGGGUGUGUAAGCGCAGCGAUGCGUUGAGCUAACCGGUACUAAUGAACCGUGAGGCUUAACCUUACAACGCCGAAG